Molecule: ribosomal RNA, 404 nt
Filed under: Actinomycetes bacterium
Lineage: Bacteria; Bacillati; Actinomycetota; Actinomycetes
Description: Actinobacteria bacterium partial 16S ribosomal RNA
Rfam family: Bacterial small subunit ribosomal RNA
Source: RNAcentral
UGGGGAAUAUUGGACAAUGGGCGCAAGCCUGAUCCAGCCAUGCCGCGUGAGUGAUGAAGGCACUAGGGUUGUAAAGCUCUUUCACCGGUGAAGAUAAUGACGGUAACCGGAGAAGAAGCCCCGGCUAACUUCGUGCCAGCAGCCGCCGUAAUACGAAGGGGGCUAGCGUUGUUCGGAUUUACUGGGCGUAAAGCGCACGUAGGCGGACUAUUAAGUCAGGGGUGAAAUCCCGGGGCUAAACCCCGGAACUGCCUUUGAUACUGGUAGUCUGGAGUUCGAGGGAGGUGAGUGGAAUUCCGAUUGUAGAGGUGAAAUUCGUAGAUAUUCGGAGGAACACCAGUGGCGAAGGCGGCGCACUGGCUCGAUACUGACGCUGAGGUGCGAAAGCGUGGGGAGCAAACAGG